This is a long non-coding RNA of Heterocephalus glaber (naked mole-rat), 416 nucleotides long. The record is from Ensembl. NCBI's taxonomy places the organism in Eukaryota, Metazoa, Chordata, Mammalia, Rodentia, Bathyergidae.
ACAUGAACCAGCACGGUAGUUGGCAGACCAGUCUUUAUCCUACAUUGUCAGUAAUAUAGAUGAUUCAACCAACAACUUUGCAACUUUAUGAAGGUGCUGGAGUAAUGCAUUCAAUAGAAAUUUACCUAGAAUUUUGAUCUUCUUUCAGUUUGGUCAUCCCAUCUCUCUGAACCAUCUCUUCAUCUGUAAAAUGGACAUCAUAAGGCCAGCUUCUGGAUGGGCAUGAGCAUCCUAUGAGAUGCUUUGGAAACAGGAAUCAUCAUACUGAGAGCACAGGCAUUCGUGAAUGAUUAGACAUGCACACUGAGGAGCUACAAGGAAGACACGUGUCCUGGGGAAGCUGCCAAGAAGUUAUAGAAAGGGAACAAGAAACGGUGCAUCUGUGGAGUGAAUACUUAAGGCGACAUCUAAAAGCC